CCCUGCUCCUUGCACACACCGCCCGUCGCUUCACCCGAGUUUGGCUUGGACGAGGUCGUCUCAUGUUGGGGUGAUCGAAUCCGAGUUAGGCAAGGGGGAG
This 100-nucleotide ribosomal RNA is filed under the name uncultured bacterium. Its description in RNAcentral is "partial 16S ribosomal RNA". It matches the Rfam family "Archaeal small subunit ribosomal RNA", at positions 1328 to 1428 of the family's 1478-position model. The record is from RNAcentral.